This 2254-nucleotide ribosomal RNA is filed under the name Rotaria macrura. RNAcentral describes it as "eukaryotic LSU rRNA". It matches the Rfam family "Eukaryotic large subunit ribosomal RNA", at positions 384 to 2417 of the family's 3401-position model. Lineage: Eukaryota; Metazoa; Rotifera; Eurotatoria; Philodinida; Philodinidae. The record is from RNAcentral.
GAACUUCAACAGUCCAUCGAUGUGUUUUUGCCUGGAGUCGAAUGCAUUUUCAAAGUAUUAACUGAACCUGGAUCUAUAAUAUUGAAAGCUAAUCGAAUCAGUCUAUUUUGGUAGCGAAAUUCGUGUUAAAAAUAUGACUUGCAUAAACGACAAAUUCGAUUUGGCGUUAUAGGUAAACAGACAUGUUCUUUGAUUUCAGUACUUAGUACGGCAUGUUGUGAGCAUUGUUUGUGUCACAUGAGUAACUAAUAUUUAAAUAUUAGUUUUAUUCAUGUCGAUGCUUAAUGUUUCAUGGCUGUCAAUGAAAUCGGCAAGUCUACAGGAGUUUUGAAUGCCGAGUUAUUCGACCCGUCUUGAAACACGGUCUAAGGAGUUCACUGCAUGUGCAAGAGUUCGGCUGUAUGAAAAGCCUUGCUCGUAAUGAAAGUAAAGAACAUUCUUGCAAUGUUUUAAGUGUGAUUUCUGUCAUCUGGUGUAAAUCAUGACAAUGAACGCAACACUGACAGGUUCUAUUGCCGUUGGCAAAGAGCUUAGUAAGAGUAUAUGCAAUGAGACCCGAAAGAUGGUGAACUUAAUGUGUGUAGAAUGAAGCCAGGGGAAACCCUGGUGGAAGUUCGUAGCGGUUCUGACGUGCAAAUCGAUCGUCAAACAUGCAUUAAGGGGCGAAAGACUAAUCGAACCAUCUAGUAGCUGGUUCCGUCCGAAGUUUCCCUCAGGAUAGCUGGCAUUCAAUUUUCACAGUUAUAUCCGGUAAAGCGAAUGUUUAGAGGCAUUGGGCGUAAAAUACGCUCAACCUAUUGACAAACUUUAAAUGGGUAUGAAGUUCAUUUUUCUACUUCAUUGAGAAUGAACAGCGAAUGUGAGUGCCAAGUGGGCCAUUUUUGGUAAGCAGAACUGGCGCUGUUGGAUGCACAAAACGUCAAGAUAAAGAGCCAGAUGGUCUCGCUCAUCAGAUACCAUAAAAGGUGUUGGUCGAUAUAGACAGCAGGACGGUGGCCAUGGAAGUCGGAAUCCGUUAAGGAGUGUGUAACAACUCACCUGCCGAAUCGACUAGUCCUAAAAAUGGAUGGCGCUCGAGCGAGCCUCUUAUACUUGACUGUUACGAUACAAUAAGCCAUUCACGGACAUCAUGUCGUAACAAGUAGGACGGUUGAUAUGGUUGCGUCGAAGGCUAACACGUGAGUGUGGCUUGAGCAGUCAUAUGUACAGAUCUUAGUGGUAGUAGCAACUAUUCAAAUGAGAACUUUGAAGACUGACGUGGAGAAAGGUUCCAUGUGAACAGCUAUUGGACAUGGGUCAGUCAGUCCUAAGAUGCGCUCGAAAGAGGGUUCCGAACGUGGAAUAUUUAUUCAUUAUUAUAUUCCAUCAAAUCGAAAGGGAAACAAGUUAAUAUUCUUGUACUAAGUGUCGGAGAUUGUUUGAUUCUCUGUCAAACAUAUGUGGUAACACAAACAAGCUCAAAUACAUCACAAGUGGUCCUGGAAAGAGUUUUCUCUUCUUUGUUACUUCAUCAGACGACCCUGGAAUCAGUUCAACUGGAGAUAGGGUUCAAAUGAAGGUAAAGAGUAGCCGUUCUUGCUACUUCCUCGGUGCAUCAUUUGUGAUCCUUGAAAAUUUGAGCGAGAUAUUAAAUUUCGCACUUAUCUGUACUCUAAACCGCAUCAGGUCUCCAAGGUGAAAAGCCUCUAGUCAAUUAGAACAAGGUAGCACAAGGGAAGUCGGCAAAAUCGAUCGGCAACUUCGGGAUAACGAUUGGCUCUAAGUGCUAGGGUGUUCGGGCUUGAUGAUAAAGCAGUAGACUUGCUAUUGGAGCUGAGCUUUCGGAUACAGCAAUGUGUCUGAUCGUUCGGACUAGUGGCUUGUCUUGCUGUGGAAUCGUUUUGCUACGGUAUGCGAGUCGCUUGCGGUUCGUAUUACUUCGGACAUCGUUUAAUAGCAAACUUAGAACUCGCUGCGUCUAGGGGAAUCCGACUGUCUAGUUAAAACAGAGCUUUGCGAUUGGCCGGAAAACUUGGUGUUGACGCAAAGUGAUUUCUGCCCAGUGCUCUGAAUGUUAACGUGAAGAAAUUCAAACAAGCGCGGGUAAACGGCGGGAGUAACUAUGACUCUCUUCUGGUAGCCAAAUGCCUCGUCAUCUAAUUAGUGACGCGCAUGAAUGGAUUAACGAGAUUCCCACUGUCCCUGUCUACUAUCUAGCGAAACCACAGCCAAGGGAACGGGCUUGGACUUCAAUGCGGGGAAAGAAGACCCUGUU